CUCAGGGCAGGGUGCAAUUCCCGACCGGCGGUAAACCCCGCGACUUCGUGAAAACGGAAAUGAACUGGUGCAAUUCCAGUGGCGACAGUAAAGUCUGGAUGGAAGAGU
Molecule: non-coding RNA, 108 nt
Filed under: uncultured Bulleidia sp.
Lineage: Bacteria; Bacillati; Bacillota; Erysipelotrichia; Erysipelotrichales; Erysipelotrichaceae
Description: FMN riboswitch (RFN element)
Rfam family: FMN riboswitch aptamer (RFN element)
About the family: The RFN element is a highly conserved domain that is found frequently in the 5'-untranslated regions of prokaryotic mRNAs that encode for flavin mononucleotide (FMN) biosynthesis and transport proteins. This element is a metabolite-dependent riboswitch that directly binds FMN in the absence of proteins.
Source: RNAcentral